AACUUUUGGCAAUGGAUGUCUUGGGUCCCACAACGAUGAAGAACGCAGCGAAAUGCGAUACGUAAUGUGAUCUGCAGGACCUCGUGAGUCAUCAAAACUUUGAACGCACAUUGCGCUUCUGGGUAUUCCCAGGAGCAUACUUAUCUGAGUGUCCCGAA
Molecule: ribosomal RNA, 158 nt
Filed under: Cyclotella sp. RCC4824
Lineage: Eukaryota; Bacillariophyta; Thalassiosirophyceae; Thalassiosirales; Thalassiosiraceae
Description: 5.8S ribosomal RNA
Rfam family: 5.8S ribosomal RNA
About the family: 5.8S ribosomal RNA (5.8S rRNA) is a component of the large subunit of the eukaryotic ribosome.
Source: RNAcentral